This 1175-nucleotide long non-coding RNA is filed under the name Mus musculus (house mouse). Its description in RNAcentral is "long non-coding RNA chr6:5164484-5165659". The record is from RNAcentral. Lineage: Eukaryota; Metazoa; Chordata; Mammalia; Rodentia; Muridae.
AGUAUCCUACUAAAUGCACUUAUGCUUCUAAAUGUUUAUAUAUUUUGGUAAAAUUGAUUUACUAGAUCUUUAGUAUUGUAUUUUAGUAAGGUAAAUUUUCCUCAGAUAUUUGAUUAAUGCUUUGAUGUCAAGAUUGCACAUUUUUUAGUUAGAACUCAGAAGCUAUUAUGCAGCUUGGGGCAUUUUCAACUGCAGGAUGCCCGCAGUUUUCUUGACUAAAUUGCACUGUGUGUUCUCGUGUAUCAGCUCCCACCUCAGUAGCCAUGAUGCUUCUGUCACUAACUGCUGGCUCUCUGGUGGCAGUAUUCUGUCGUGUGACCACUAUGUACUUCCUAAGCCAUCCGCUUGUAAUGGCAUUUUGGUUGCCACCAAAAAUAACACAAAGGGGCCUGAGUAUACGCUGUUGCAAGCUGUAUACUUCAUUUCCUUCGGCUGGUUUAUGCACGCACACAAGUUUCUUGUUAAAGAUUGAAGCACUCAGCCAUGAAAUAACAAUUGGCCAGAAAUACCCUAAAUUGCCUUUACCAAAAGAAAAAAAAAAAAAAAAAAAAAAGCAGGAAGCGAUGCCCAGGCCAGAUAGCUCUUUCCAGCAGCAUCAGGUUCAAUCGGUGAAUAACAAGCAGCGCUCAGCGUACAUACGUGGGCUCUCCUCAGGAUUAUUUAAUGUCAUAACUACUGCUUUUGUAUUUUUUAAUGAUGUUUUGAUGAAACCACUUCUAAGUCUGCUAUAGAUUACUGACAAGGCCAGACAGCUGAAAACGACAGGGGAAGGAAGUUCCGUUCUACUGUAAGACUUGACUUAUGUUCGCCCUUCCUUAUAUACUGCUAGAAAGGAAAGUGCUUUGUAAAGCAUUAAAGUCUGGAAAGUAUGCACAGCACAGGACCUGAACUUUUUAAUUUGUACGUUUUGCUGUCUGGUCAUUUGCAUGGGAGAAACAGCAGUGCCACACCUAAUUUGUUCUCUGGCGCUUCGUUAGUGUGUGCUGUUUCCAAUGGCAUUCUUUACUUUUCAGUUUUCAGAGGCAUUCAAAGCAAACUCUGCUGUCAGUGGACCAUUGUUUUCCGACCAUCUAAAAAAUACCUGUGAUUAAACUUAACUUGUUAGUGUAAAUAAAUCUCUUGCCAAUGAGUAUUAUUGUUGUUAGAUAAUGAAUGCAAUAAAGGAAAUACAGAGG